RNAcentral lists this ribosomal RNA (164 nucleotides) under uncultured bacterium. RNAcentral describes it as "partial 16S rRNA". It matches the Rfam family "Bacterial small subunit ribosomal RNA", at positions 355 to 511 of the family's 1533-position model. The record is from RNAcentral.
UAGGGAAUCUUCCACAAUGGACGCAAGUCUGAUGGAGCAACGCCGCGUGAGUGAAGAAGAUCUUCGGAUCGUAAAACUCUGUUGUUAGAGAAGAACACGAGUGAGAGUAACUGUUCAUUCGAUGACGGUAUCUAACCAGCAAGUCACGGCUAACUACGUGUCAG